RNAcentral lists this ribosomal RNA (359 nucleotides) under Entomoplasma freundtii. RNAcentral's name for it is "partial 23S ribosomal RNA". It matches the Rfam family "Bacterial large subunit ribosomal RNA", at positions 1 to 357 of the family's 2925-position model. The record is from RNAcentral. Lineage: Bacteria; Bacillati; Mycoplasmatota; Mollicutes; Entomoplasmatales; Entomoplasmataceae.
UUCUAAAAAAUAGUAAGGGCAUAUGGUGAAUGCCUUGGAAAAUGGAGCCGAAGAAGGACGUGACUACCUGCGAAAAGCAUCGGGGAGCUGGAAGUGAGCUUAGAUCCGGUGAUGUCCGAAUGGGGAAACCCAAUACGAUUUACCUCGUAUUGUCUGACUAGUGAAUACAUAGCUAGCAUGACGGGAACCUUGGGAAUUGAAACAUCUUAGUACCAAGAGGAAUAGAAAAUAAUAAUGAUUCUCCUAGUAGCGGCGAGCGAACGGGGAAGAGGCCAAACCGCUUUUCGAAGCGGGGUUGUAGGACUUUUGUUAGAGUUACAAAAUUGACAUAUAGUAGAACAGAUUGGGAAAUCUGAGCG